AUGGCAGAACUUCCUAUGUUUAGCUGUAGAGGAAUUGUCAGGAAAUGAAACCAAAACAGUUUGCAGGAGCAAGGUUAGAACUGAUAGACCUCUAAUUAUUUUCCUUUAGUCAACAGAGGAACAGGGCUUAGAAUUCAAUUACUAACUUGGAAUACAGUUCUUACAGCAAGAGACACAAACUAUCACUGGAAGGCUCUAUCCCCAGGAUGUAGUAGAGGUAGUCACAUAGCAUUAGUGUGCCGAAUGUCUUUACUGUCCAACAUAGGUAGUGUUAGUCAAUGAGCACCUCCAGGGACCUCCAUGAGAAGAUGAUGGAGAGAUUGCAUGGAAUAUUUCUUUGCCAGUAAGAGAUUGUUUCUUCGUGUAGGUGAAUAGGACUUGCUGGAAGAUGGCCUUUUACCUCCAAGCACAGUAUGAUAACCCCACUGCUAUUUUGGAAUAGAUUACCUUGGCAUGGAAAUCAUGGAGGAUCACAGGACCCCAACUUAGGAUUCCAGACAUUGCCACCUCCUGUCUUCUGCCAUCAGCAAGAAUUGUGGAAGAUGCUACAGUAUACAGGAAAAGGAAGUUAACUGAAAGUUGGGACUCCAUGGUGCAGCUUUGUUAAGUUGCAUGAUGGGUUGAAACUCUGUGGUGAUGCAGUUGGUUUGGGUUCACCUAUGCUCCUGUAAUCCCUUUCCUUCUCUGUAAGCAACCCCAAUAAUCACAUUGGCUUACCAGGCUGGACUUUGGUCUGUCCUUGGUGUCCCAACUGGGGUGAAUGCAUGGUUGUUCACAUCUUCCAGGAAAAGUUGACACAAUCUAGACAGCCCCACUGUAUAGUUAGACCCUAAAGAGAAGCAGCCUAAAGAAGUAAAAGGCUGUUUUGGCUAAUGGUCUCAGAGGGACUUCAGUGCCUCACCAAUGGCAAAAUAUAGAAGUCUGGCACCUUCCCUGGUAGGUGGCCUGUCAGGAAGCAGAAACAUCAGGCCAGAAUUAGGACAGGUAGAACCUUUAAACGCUACUUCAAAGCAACGGUGGAUUUUCAGCAGCCAGUCCUCACCCUUUAAAAGCUCCAGAACUGUCAAAAUACUCCUAGAACAGAGCCUUCAAAGCACUGGCCCGUGAGAAGUAUUUCAGGUGCAAACUGUCAUACUCUGUAUAUGAAUGGGCUGGGGUUUGUUCAUUCACAAAUGAUAAGCAGUUAAGUGUUUUAUUUUGUGUUUAUUUUAUUUCUCUACAUUCCUAAAAAUACAGAGAGUUGAUGCUAUACUUGUAACUUUUUGAAUAAUUGUUGCCCUUACUCCAAAAUCAUUAAAGCAUUAUAGAAGUCAACUAUCUAAGCAUGACUCCUACCAUGGAUGUUUGACCAACACUAAUAAUCAUUCACCUUGUCUACUUUAACACUUUUAAGUGGGCACCUGGUAGCUUCCCAUUCUCUUUUUAGAUUUUGUUUAGAACAGUGACUCUCAACCUUCUUAAUGUUGUGACUCUUUAAACAUUAACUCAUUAAACUCAUGUGGUGGUGACCUCCCCUUCAACCAUAAAAUUGUUUUGAUGGUACUUCAUAACAUAAUUUUGUUUUGCUUUUGUUUUUUGUUUCUGUUCUGUUUUCUCUUUAUUUACUGGUAUCUUCUCUAAUAUUUAUAUUUUUAUUUCUCCCAUUUCAUGUGGAUUUAAUUAUUGUUUGCAUGUUCUACCAUGAUUUUAUUUCCCACUUUUAAAGUGUAUUUCUUAUAGAGACUGCGACUUUGGGCUUUGCUGUUUAUUUUUUGUUGUUUUGUUUUUAUCCAGAUCAAAGAUCUCUGCAGAUUAAUUUAAAUAAUUUAUAUCACUUGUUUUUAAUAUAAUCUUAACUCAUACCACUUUGGAAUCUAUUAUAUUGCUACUUCUUUUCUUUUUAUUGAAUUGUGUAUUAUUCUUUUUGCUCUUGCCUUUCUCUGAAGAAAAUAUUCUGACAUUCCAUUUUGUGUCCAUCCUCUGUUUUUUCCUUCUAAUAAGAGAAUAUCAAUAGCAAAAUUCACUCCAGUAGCAUCACCAGUAACAAUAAGAAAAAUGAAACAGAGUGUAAGGCUCCUAACAUGAAAGAAAACCUAUGGUGAAACCCCACUACAAUAUGCUACUCAACAAUAAAGAGAAAUCAACCUAUACAGCACCACAGUUCAGUCAUAGCAGCUGGCUGAGUGACAGAGCAUGAUACACAAGAGCAGUGCUUAGUUAAUUCUAUUUCCAUGAGAAUCUAGCAAAACAAAAUGAACUCAUGGUGACAGAAAUGGGAAGAAGAAGCCAUUCUAUGAAGAAGCCCUGAGAAGGAUGUAGAAAUUUUCUUGAAUCUUAGAGGUGUAGAAUAUAUAGAAAAGAAUACUGAAUUUCUUGUGUGUAUGUGUUUUUAAAACCAAUCAACUUAGUCAGCUAAGAUCCUUCUCAGCAAACAGUUAUGAAGAAGUUCUGGCUUCUUGACUGAUGGAAUAUAUCAAUUAGACUCCAGAGUUAGGGGCUCCUAUUCUUUUCUAUGUCCCUAACAUUUCCCUGUUUCUAUGUCUUGCCUCAAUUGUGAGCUGACUUGUCCUUUGUUUGAUUUCUGGCCAAGGCCUGACCCACAGUGCAUGCUCAGUGACAAGAGCAGAGUGAGGCUCUCCUUUUCUGGCCUGAUUUUCUGAACUGCGGUUUUCAUUGUGGUGGAAUGAGGGAGGGGUUAUGCCAGGCUUCUGAUCUUUCAGGGGAUAGUUCUAAUAUUUGUAAGAUCUUCACAAUCCCAACCUCAUCUCUAGUCUGGAAGCAUAAGAGUCUGGAUUAUUCUGGAUGCUCACAUCCUACCAAACACAGCUGUUUCAGGCUGAAGUCAGUAUUGACAAUGAGCAUGCAGGAGCUGGAAGUGUUGCCAGGCUGAUGAUUGCAGCACACAGCUUAGCCACACUGCUGCAGAAAGGCACUGGGAAGUCUGAGAAGGCCACUUCACUCAUUGCUCUCCCUGAAUUCCUUGUUCCUAUGGUGAGACAAGUUUAGCAUAUCCAUUCACUAGAUGUUUUUUCUAUUUCUGCUAGUUAGAAAAUUGCCGAGCAGCACUGCUGAAUCUAACUUCUUGAGUCUUCCGUGAAGCUGUAGUUUGGGUGUCAUCUCUUCCCAGAGGGUUUUCCUGACCCCAUACAGGCAUACUUGCUAUUCUUUUCCAUACUCUGAUUAUACGCAUACUUAAUUUCUAAUGGUAUUUUAGCUUAUAGUUGUUUUAGAAAGUUAAAUCUAAUGAAAUAUGUAACAUAAGGUGUGAUGGGUUAGUGCUAAUUGUCAGCUUGAAAGCCUCUAGAGUAACCUCAAGAUGGAUCUUUAGGCAUGCCCCUGGAGGAUUAUCUUCAUUGGUUUAAUUAAUGUGAAGGACCCAACUACUGUGAGAGACACCAUUCCCUGGCCAGAAUCUUGGACUGCAUAAACGGAGAAAGGAGCUGACUAAUAGUGGGCAUUAGUCUCUCUUUGCUUCUUAACUGUGAAUUCCAUAUGACCAGCUGCUUCAAGCUCCUACCACCUCAAUUUUCGUGAAAUGACGGACUGUGUACUUAUAUUGUAAACCUGAAUAAACCCGUUCUUCCUUAAGUUGCUAUUGUUAGAGCAACAAAAAAAUGUAA
Long non-coding RNA from Apodemus sylvaticus (European woodmouse), 3599 nucleotides. RefSeq lists it as uncharacterized. The record is from RefSeq and is a predicted model, not a curated record. The transcript has 3 exons. Lineage: Eukaryota; Metazoa; Chordata; Mammalia; Rodentia; Muridae.